Molecule: non-coding RNA, 28 nt
Filed under: Rattus norvegicus (Norway rat)
Lineage: Eukaryota; Metazoa; Chordata; Mammalia; Rodentia; Muridae
Source: RNAcentral
UUUUAUAUAAGUGUCCACAGCUCAGCCA